RNAcentral lists this long non-coding RNA (4871 nucleotides) under Homo sapiens (human). Its description in RNAcentral is "HSALNT0303977". The record is from RNAcentral. Lineage: Eukaryota; Metazoa; Chordata; Mammalia; Primates; Hominidae.
CGCGCGGCCAGUCAGCCCUGCGGUGCGGUGGGCAUUGCCAGAGCAGGGCGCCCCCUGCAGGGACGCACCCGGGGCGGGGGCCAGGCUGGGGCGAGCCCCCCUUGGUUCUGGAGAGGAAAUGACAUACAGUUUGUGAAAGCAUAAAUAUUCGUGAAAAUAAGAAAAUUCAGGAAGGAAACAAAGCUUAAGGCAGUGAUUGAUAGGUUAUUUCUUGGACACAGCUGAACGUAUACUGUGCGCCUGCAACUUUCCGGUGGUUUCGGACCGGACUUCAGUGAAGCCAGUGAAGUCGGUCGACUUGCAGAACUUCCUUUCAGAGGGGCGUACACAGCACCGCGGCCGUGUGCCUGUGAUCUCCUUCUGAGUUUGAAAAAGAAGAUCCUAGACACCGAGCCAAAUAUGUUUGCAUAAACCGGGAGACUUGUGGCUCUAUUUUGUAACAGCUUGGCGCAGGGCAGCUGGUUUGGAGAUGUCUCUGUUCUUCCCUUGGUGGGGGUGCCGGAAAAAAUGUGCUGCCUGGGCGAUCGAGGUUGGGGCAAAAGCGUUGCAAAGGAAAAGGUGGGAGGACUCUACUUUCACAUUUCCCAAAAGAGUUUUACCAUAAGACUAUUUCUGGAUUGUUCUAACGUGAGGAUAUUGGGAGCAUUUUGAAAAUACUGGAGGAAAAGCUGUCACUGGGCGAUUUAAAUCCGGAAGCUGGAAAGUCCAAGAUCAGGGAGUCAGCAUCUGGUGAAGGCCUUCUUGCUGUGUCAUCCCAUGGUGGAACAUGGAAGGAAUGCUUGUCAAAUAGAGCACGCAGGGACCCUGAGCAACCAGGACUGUUGGCAUGACAAGCGGGCGAGCAGAGGAUGGGGGAGCCAGAAGAGAAGGUGCUGAAAGGAAGAGCUGAAAACAAGCUUGACCCAUCACUCAAAGUUGUCUAAUAGUCCUUGAAUCCAGAUGCCUCAUGGCCCUAGGAGGGCCAAACACACUCGGGGGUUGGAAAGGAAGCAUCACAGUGCUGGUGUCAGGAUACCUGAGUUCCAGCCUUGUCUUUGACAUUUAUGAGGUGUAUAAACUGGGAGGGUCACUUCAGCUCUCUGAGCCUUAGUUUUGUGUACUGUAAAGUGGGAGAAAUAAUACAUCCCUCACAAAGGCAUAAAUAGGCCAGGUGCGGUGGCUCACGCCUGUAAUCCCAGCACUUUGGGAGGCCAAAGCGGGUGGAUAACCUGAGGUCAGGAGCUCGAGACCAGCCUGGCCAACAUGGUGAAACCCCAUCUCUACUAAAAAUACAAAACCCCCAUCUCUACUAAAAAUACAAAAAUUAUCCAAGUGUGGUGACAGGCACCUGUAAUCCCAGCUACUUGGGAGGCUGACUACUCAGGAGAAUUGCUUGAACCUGGGAGGCGGAGGUUGCAGUGAGCCGAGAUCAUGCCACUGUACUCCAGCCUGGGUGACAGAGUAAGACUCCAUCUCAAAACAAACAAACAAACAAAAACAAGACAAAGGCAUAAACAAUAAACAAGAGAUUGAUUUUUUUGGUAACAGCUUUAUUGCAAUAUAAUUCAAGUACCAUAAAAUUCACCACCCCCGCUUUUUUUCGAAACAGGGUCUCACUCUGCUGUCACCCAGGCUGGAGUGCAGUGGCAUGAUCACUGCUCACUUCAGCCUCGACCUCCUAGGUUCAAGCGAUCCGCCCACCUUUGUCUCCCAAGUAGCUAGGACUAUAGGUGCACACCACCACACCCAGCUAAUUAUAAAAUUUUGUUGUGGAGACGGGCUCUCAUCACGUUGCCCACGCUGAUCACGAACCCCUGAGCUCAAACAAUCUUCCUGCCUCGGCCUUCCAAAGUGCUGGGAUUAUAGACAUGAGCCACCACACUGGGCCAAAAUUCACCCUUUUAAAGUAUGCAGUUCUGUUUUUUAGUGUAUUCACAGAGUUGUGCAACCAUCACCACUAUUUCAUAGUAGAACAUUUUUAUAACUCCUAAUGGAACCAAUACUGUUAUCAAUCACUCUCUAUCCUCCCUCCUGAGAGAUCGACUUUAAACUAUUUGGUGCUGUACCCAUUUUGCUUUGUAUAGAUAACAGUUGAUCAUUGCUACACAAUAGUCAGUAGUCUGCUCAUAAGUAAUAUCACAAUUAUUCUUCAGACUUAGUAAGAGCUGGCUUGAGAACUGUGUCAGGAGUAAGUUCGGCAGGGGAAUGGUAGAGAUGAAGAGGCUUAAAGAACAGUUUGUUUCUCUCUCAUAGAAUAAUCCAGGUAGCUCCAGGUAGCUCACAGCUCCAUCUUCCCUAGGGCACGAGCAACUUUCUCAGGAUACAAAAUGUCAGCUAGAGCUCCAGCUGUUAUAUCCUUGUUCCAGACAGCAGGAUGAAGACAGAGAUGAAGAUUGCAUGCCAUUGGCUUUUAAGGAAAGGUCUCAGAAGUUGCCACAAACACUUCUACUAACUUUUUUUUUUUUUGAGAUGGGGUCUUACCCUGUCACCUAGGCUGGAGUGCAGUGGCACGAUCUUGGCUCACUGUAACCUUCGCCUCCUGGGGUCAAGCAAUUCUCCUGCCUCAACCUCCCGAGUGUCUGGGAUUAUAGGCGCCCGCCACUACACCUGGCUAACUUUUUUUGUAUUUUUAGUACAGAUGGGGUUUCACCACGUUGGCCAGGCUGGUUUCAAACUCCUGACCUCAAAUGAUCCGCCUGCCUAAGCUUCCCAAAGUGUUAGGAUUACAGGCGUGAGCCACCAUGCCCAACCACUUCUACUAACAUCUAAUUGACCAGAACUCACUAGUAUGAUCAUAUCUAGCUGUAAGAAAGGCUGGGAAAUUUAGCCUUAUUCCAAAGAGCCAGUUAAAAAUUGGGGUUUGCAUUAUUAUGAAAGAAAAGACCAGGUAUUUGGUAGAUGUAUCAGUCAGCAAAUGCUAUAAUAAUUCUGCAUAACAAACCAUGAGCAUACAACAAUGAGCUUUUGUUUUCCUUGCCCUCAGGGCUGUGGGUUGGCUGGGAGGCUCUGCAUCAGGCUACAGGGCUGCCGGGCUUGGUGGAGGUAUACUGCACUCACACUAAUGGAGGGCACUGCAAAAUCACAUAACAAAGGGUAUGAGUGUAAAAUUCUAACACCAGAAGCGUCUGCAGAAUGAUAAACAAUGAUUCAUUUAUACAGAGGACAACCAAGAUUGCCAGGAAAUUCAAUGUCUGCAGUCUUGGUCCCCGGAGACCUCCCAGGAACCUGCUGCUGCUGCUGUCCUACAAUUCAGCUCCCAGUGUAGCUUCCAGUUCUGAUGAUCCCACUUCCCCGGUUACAGAUUAAGCUAGUCCAGCCUCUCACAUGAGCUUUUUAGGCCACAGUCCCUAGUUUCAGCCUAACCAGACACCUGCAGCCUUUUCUCUAAGGUUUUGCCAAGACAAACAGAGUAGUUCAGGAUGCCUCUAAGGGAGAAGGAAAGUGGGAAAAAUCAUUUGGGAAAAAUUCAGAGUGCAGAAGCAGCCUGCCUGAAAAGUUGCUGGAACAGACAAAAAUAAAACAACCUGGGGAAAAUAAAACAAAACAAAACUCAGGCUGGACCUGGACAGAUAAACAAACAGGAUCCCGCACAGGAGUUCUUUAUUCUUUGUCUAAUUAGCAAGCUCCCAGGAAAAAAUUUUCUCCCUUUUUCAGUCAGAUACAUGGUGAGAACUUGCACACGGAGGAGGGGGGAUUACCUAAAACAAACUCACAGUAUACAAACAAGAGAAGCUGUGCUUUGUGCUUACCUAAAAACAUACCCACAGCUGCAUGAGAUAAGGGGCGUCGCACAGACAGCCUUACUGAUAAGAGAAGUUACUCAAACUGCUACAGAGAUGAGAGGGGUUUCUCAGCUGUAACCUGGCAAUCCACUCUGACUCCUCUCUCUGCUGCAGAGAGCUUUAUUUCUUUCACUUAUUAAACUUUCCCUCCAACACCAUGUUUGUGUCUGCGUUCCUAAUUUUCUUGGACAUAGGACAAAGGACCUGGGGUACCAGUUAAGACAAAGAGAAACUGCUACAUUAAGGUGGGUUGGUGAGACUGCAACACCUCUAUGUAGGGCCAGAAGCCAUUUUCCUCUGCCCCACUUCCCCGGGGGCCAGCCAGAGUCAGACCCAUUUUUCCCGUUCAAAUUCCCCAAACACAAAAGCUUCAUCAUGCCAUUUUCUAUUACAAUUGGGCUUGAAGGUACAUCUACAAGAGAGUGAAAGCCCAGGCAACUUGUCCCUUGAGUUACAAAGAAUUCCGUUUAUCUUUCCUGGGGUAAGACUAAGUCUACAGCAGUAAAAAUUCAGCACUCAGAUUGGUUUUCAAAGGCUGACCUUUCCAUUAUUUACAUUCUUAAUGAAUCAUCCUGCUUAAUUGUAAUCAGUGGAGCUUAAGGCAAAUUUCCAAAAGGUUUGGUCAAACUUUUGGUGUAAAUAAUCUCAGUGUAUCUAUUUCAACUUUACUUAGUCCGCUUCCAUUAGUAACAUGAAGAAGCAUUUUCUUGGGUACAACCCAAAGUUAGCACCAAUUAUGAAAUCUAUUGGUUAGUUCAGCAAAUUAAACAGUUACUUUUGUUGUUGUUUUUUGAGACAGGGUUUUGUUCUGUAGCCCAGGCUAGAGAGCAGUGGUGCCAUCUCAGCUCACUGCAACCUCUGCCUCCUGAGCUCAAGUGAUCUUCCCACCUCAGCCUUCCUAGUAGCAGGGACCAUAGGCACCUGCCACCAUGCCCCGCUAAUUUUUUUUUUUAUUUAUUUUUUGUAGAGAUGGGGUUUCUCCAUGUUGCCCAGGCUGGUCUCAAACUCCUGGCCUCAAGUGAUUCACCCGCUUCAGCCUCCUAAAGUGUUGGGAUUACAAGCAUAAGCCACUGCACCCAGCCAAAAUGGUUACUUUCAGUAACAGCUGUG